GAUUAAGUUAUUAAGGGCGCACGGUGGAUGCCUUGGCACUAGAAGCCGAUGAAGGACGUUACUAACGACGAUAUGCUUUGGGGAGCUGUAAGUAAGCUUUGAUCCAGAGAUUUCCGAAUGGGGAAACCCAGCAUGAGUUAUGUCAUGUUAUCGAUAUGUGAAUACAUAGCAUAUCAGAAGGCACACCCGGAGAACUGAAACAUCUUAGUACCCGGAGGAAGAGAAAGAAAAUUCGAUUCCCUUAGUAGCGGCGAGCGAAACGGGAAGAGCCCAAACCAACAAGCUUGCUUGUUGGGGUUGUAGGACACUCUAUACGGAGUUACAAAGGACGACAUUAGACGAAUCAUCUGGAAAGAUGAAUCAAAGAAGGUAAUAAUCCUGUAGUCGAAAAUGUUGUCUCUCUUGAGUGGAUCCUGAGUACGACGGAGCACGUGAAAUUCCGUCGGAAUCUGGGAGGACCAUCUCCUAAGGCUAAAUACUCUCUAGUGACCGAUAGUGAACCAGUACCGUGAGGGAAAGGUGAAAAGCACCCCGGAAGGGGAGUGAAAUAGAACCUGAAACCGUGUGCUUACAAGUAGUCAGAGCCCGUUAAUGGGUGAUGGCGUGCCUUUUGUAGAAUGAACCGGCGAGUUACGAUUUGAUGCAAGGUUAAGCAGUAAAUGUGGAGCCGUAGCGAAAGCGAGUCUGAAUAGGGCGUUUAGUAUUUGGUCGUAGACCCGAAACCAGGUGAUCUACCCUUGGUCAGGUUGAAGUUCAGGUAACACUGAAUGGAGGACCGAACCGACUUACGUUGAAAAGUGAGCGGAUGAACUGAGGGUAGCGGAGAAAUUCCAAUCGAACCUGGAGAUAGCUGGUUCUCUCCGAAAUAGCUUUAGGGCUAGCCUCAAGUGAUGAUUAUUGGAGGUAGAGCACUGUUUGGACGAGGGGCCCCUCUCGGGUUACCGAAUUCAGACAAACUCCGAAUGCCAAUUAAUUUAACUUGGGAGUCAGAACAUGGGUGAUAAGGUCCGUGUUCGAAAGGGAAACAGCCCAGACCACCAGCUAAGGUCCCAAAAUAUAUGUUAAGUGGAAAAGGAUGUGGCGUUGCCCAGACAACUAGGAUGUUGGCUUAGAAGCAGCCAUCAUUUAAAGAGUGCGUAAUAGCUCACUAGUCGAGUGACACUGCGCCGAAAAUGUACCGGGGCUAAACAUAUUACCGAAGCUGUGGAUUGUCCUUUGGACAAUGGUAGGAGAGCGUUCUAAGGGCGUUGAAGCAUGAUCGUAAGGACAUGUGGAGCGCUUAGAAGUGAGAAUGCCGGUGUGAGUAGCGAAAGACGGGUGAGAAUCCCGUCCACCGAUUGACUAAGGUUUCCAGAGGAAGGCUCGUCCGCUCUGGGUUA
Molecule: ribosomal RNA, 1379 nt
Filed under: Staphylococcus aureus
Lineage: Bacteria; Bacillati; Bacillota; Bacilli; Caryophanales; Staphylococcaceae
Description: partial 23S ribosomal RNA
Rfam family: Bacterial large subunit ribosomal RNA
Source: RNAcentral